Molecule: non-coding RNA, 72 nt
Organism: Phrynosoma platyrhinos (Desert horned lizard)
Lineage: Eukaryota; Metazoa; Chordata; Lepidosauria; Squamata; Phrynosomatidae
Source: the annotation of a GenBank genome assembly
GCAGGUGUGGUGUAAUGAUUUGAGCUUUGGACUAUGACUCUGGAGAUCAGGGUUCAAUUCCCUGCAUAGCCA